GUAGUCGGAUUCACAUCAAUCCACAUAUGUUGAGGUGGAUUGGAGUGGAAUUUGAACUAAAUUCCACCUCAAUAAUUCACAUCAACACACAUGGGUUGAAGUAAAUCCGACA
Sorghum bicolor (sorghum) is the source of this 112-nucleotide microRNA precursor. It matches the Rfam family "MIR5565 microRNA precursor family". Lineage: Eukaryota; Viridiplantae; Streptophyta; Magnoliopsida; Poales; Poaceae. The record is from Rfam.